ACUCCUACGGGAGGCAGCAGUAGGAAUUUUCCGCAAUGGAACGAAAGUCUGACGGAGCAAUGCCGCGUGAGUGAUGAAGGUUUUCGAAUCGUAAAGCUCUGUUGUAAGGGAAAGAAUAGCAAGAUAGGAAAUGAUUCUUGNCUGACGGUACUUACCAGAAAGCCACGGCUAACUACGUGCCGCAGCCGCGGUAAUACGUAGGUGGCAAGCGUUUAUCCGGAAUUAUUGGCGGUAAAAGCGCAUGUAGGCGGGCUCUUUAAAGUCUGAUGUGAAAAGCCUGUGGCUCAACCACAGAAUUGCAUUGGAUACUGGAGAGCUAGAAUCUUGGAGGAGGU
RNAcentral lists this ribosomal RNA (335 nucleotides) under uncultured bacterium. Its description in RNAcentral is "bacterial SSU rRNA". It matches the Rfam family "Bacterial small subunit ribosomal RNA", at positions 335 to 659 of the family's 1533-position model. The record is from RNAcentral.